CAGGGGUAGAGCUCUUUUAGAUUUUGUCUAGCAAGUUCUCUGGUCUCCCACCAAGAAACCCCC
Small nuclear RNA from Callithrix jacchus (white-tufted-ear marmoset), 63 nucleotides. Its record names the gene U7. It matches the Rfam family "U7 small nuclear RNA". From Rfam's summary of the family: Animal histone pre-mRNAs are spliced by a different mechanism than nuclear pre-mRNAs and self-splicing introns. This processing involves the U7 snRNP, which contains only one RNA species: U7. The record is from Ensembl. Lineage: Eukaryota; Metazoa; Chordata; Mammalia; Primates; Cebidae.